UAUAAUCAGGCUUGCAAGCAUGCUCAAUCAUGGCGUCCAUCAAUCUAAAGGCAUCUUCCAACAAAUUGUUCUCUUUAAGGCCUUUAAACAUUGCAUUAUAUGUGUCGGAAUAAGGCUUCACCCCUUUUGCUUUCAUGUCAUCCACCAGAAAGAGUGCACCAUUGAUGUCAUUGUUGUUGCAGAGAGAUUCUAUACGAAUGUUGUAUGUUAUGGUGUUUGGAGGAAUCUUUGAUGUGGAACUCAUGUCAUUGAAGAGCUUCAUUGCUUCCUUAAUAUUUUCAUUUGAGCAGUAUGCGUGAAUUAGAUCUCCGUAUGUGGCGAUAGUAGGGACAUGACCUUCGUUAAUCAUCCAUUCCAUUGCUUCGCGAGCAAGUCCGAAAUUCCCAUUUUGACAAAAAUAAGCAAUCAAACUGUUAUAUGAGACACUAUUAGGCUUCACUCCUGCUUCUUCCAUUUCCUUGAUGAUGUCAUACGCUUUAUCAACCAUGUUUUUCUUGCAGAACCCUCUAACAAGCGAAUUGUAGCAUACAAUGUCAGGGCGGAACCCAACUUUUUUCAGCUUCGACAAAACAUUGCUGGC
This 580-nucleotide long non-coding RNA is filed under the name Gossypium barbadense (sea-island cotton). RNAcentral describes it as "long non-coding RNA (GBAR_LNC007520)". Lineage: Eukaryota; Viridiplantae; Streptophyta; Magnoliopsida; Malvales; Malvaceae. The record is from RNAcentral.